This 101-nucleotide small nuclear RNA is filed under the name Zalophus californianus (California sea lion). The record is from RNAcentral. Lineage: Eukaryota; Metazoa; Chordata; Mammalia; Carnivora; Otariidae.
GCUCUGGCAGAACAUAAACUAAAAUUGGAACAGUACAGAGAAGGUUCACAUGGCCCCUGCGUGAGGAUGACACGUAAAUUCAUGAAACAUUCCAUAUUUAG